This 327-nucleotide ribosomal RNA is filed under the name Ctenophorus fordi. RNAcentral's name for it is "partial 12S small subunit ribosomal RNA". It matches the Rfam family "Bacterial small subunit ribosomal RNA", at positions 890 to 1384 of the family's 1533-position model. The record is from RNAcentral. Lineage: Eukaryota; Metazoa; Chordata; Lepidosauria; Squamata; Agamidae.
CAGCCCGAAACUCAAAAGACCUGGCGGUACCCUACACCAACCUAGAGGAGCCUGUGCCGGAAUCGAUAACCCGCGAUAAACCUUACCACCUCUUGCAACUCCAGCCUGUAUACCGCCGUCGUCAGCCCGUCUCACAAGAGAGCGGAGCAAGACAACCUCCCCCAUAAAAACGACAGGUCAAGGUGCAGCUUAUGAAGUGGAGCGCAUGGGCUACAAUGCCAACCACUGGCUCAAACGGACCCAAGCUGAACUUGAACCUUGGACAAAGUCGGAUUUAGUAGUAAGAUCAACAAGAACGUUGAUCUGAAUACACGCGCUGGGGUACGC